CACAGAAAGAGGCAGAAAAAUGGAGAUUAACCAGGACAUGAAGAAAGGUUGAGAGAAUGAAAUUACAAAGUAAAGACCGGGAUGGAAAUUGAAGGGGUGCUUGCAGCAGCAUGGACAAGAAGAUAUUCUCUGCUAAUCAGAAGGCCUAACAAAUGCCGUCAUAAUUUUCAAAGAACGAGCAGACUGGAAGGAGGGGCAGCCUGGAAGCCAAGAGCAACACAUUCCCAGACUCCUGCCUUGUUAGAGAUGCAAGGGCUGGCCUAAAAGAAGACUGGAGCGCUCAGUUCUAUUUGAGUGGGCCAGGAUUAAAACAAUUUAUUUCUUAGAAGAGGGAUCCUCGAAGAUGCCAGAGAAUCAAACAAACAAAACACAGGACACAGUGUGCUAUGAAGUAUAGGGUGGUUUCUUUCAAAAAAGAACACUUCCAAAGAAUAUGCUAUAACAACUUCCAGUUGUGGACACUUCACCUCCACCAAUAAAAACAGGACAUAGUCUAUAGACUGUCGAUGUGAAAAGAA
Long non-coding RNA from Peromyscus eremicus (cactus mouse), 518 nucleotides. RefSeq lists it as uncharacterized. Lineage: Eukaryota; Metazoa; Chordata; Mammalia; Rodentia; Cricetidae. The transcript is spliced from 5 exons. The record is from RefSeq and is a predicted model, not a curated record.